Molecule: ribosomal RNA, 492 nt
Filed under: uncultured bacterium
Lineage: Bacteria
Description: partial 16S ribosomal RNA
Rfam family: Bacterial small subunit ribosomal RNA
Source: RNAcentral
GAUGAACGCUAGCUACAGGCUUAACACAUGCAAGUCGAGGGGAAACGGCAUUGAGUGCUUGCACUCUUUGGACGUCGACCGGCGCACGGGUGAGUAACGCGUAUCCAACCUUCCCAUUACUGUGGGGUAACCUGCCGAAAGGCAGACUAAUACCGCAUAGUCUUCGAUGACGGCAUCAGAUUUGAAGUAAAGAUUUAUCGGUAAUGGAUGGGGAUGCGUCUGAUUAGCUUGUUGGCGGGGUAACGGCCCACCAAGGCUACGAUCAGUAGGGGUUCUGAGAGGAAGGUCCCCCACAUUGGAACUGAGACACGGUCCAAACUCCUACGGGAGGCAGCAGUGAGGAAUAUUGGUCAAUGGACGGAAGUCUGAACCAGCCAAGUAGCGUGCAGGAUGACGGCCCUAUGGGUUGUAAACUGCUUUUGUAUGGGGAUAAAGUUAGGGACGUGUCCCUAUUUGCAGGUACCAUACGAAUAAGGACCGGCUAAUUCCGUG